RNAcentral lists this ribosomal RNA (510 nucleotides) under uncultured Pseudomonadota bacterium. Its description in RNAcentral is "bacterial SSU rRNA". It matches the Rfam family "Bacterial small subunit ribosomal RNA", at positions 355 to 859 of the family's 1533-position model. Lineage: Bacteria; Pseudomonadati; Pseudomonadota. The record is from RNAcentral.
UGGGGAAUUUUGGACAAUGGGCGCAAGCCUGAUCCAGCAAUGCCGCGUGAGUGAAGAAGGCCUUCGGGUUGUAAAGCUCUUUUGUCAGGGAAGAAACGGUGGAGGUUAAUACCUUCCACUAAUGACGGUACCUGAAGAAUAAGCACCGGCUAACUACGUGCCAGCAGCCGCGGUAAUACGUAGGGUGCAAGCGUUAAUCGGAAUUACUGGGCGUAAAGCGUGCGCAGGCGGUUUUGUAAGUCUGUCGUGAAAUCCCCGGGCUCAACCUGGGAAUUGCGAUGGAGACUGCAAGGCUAGAAUCUGGCAGAGGGGGGUAGAAUUCCACGUGUAGCAGUGAAAUGCGUAGAGACGUGGAGGAACACCGAUGGCGAAGGCAGCCCCCUGGGUCAGAUUGACGCUCGUGCACGAAAGCGUGGGGAGCAAACAGGAUUAGAUACCCUGGUAGUCCACGCCCUAAACGAUGUCUACUAGUUGUCGGGUUUUAAUUAACUUGGUAACGCAGCUAACGCG